UAGGGAAUAUUAGUAAUGGGCGAAAGCCUGAACUAGCAACGCCGCGUGUGCGAAGAAGGCCUUCGGGUUGUAAAGCACUUUUUGAGAGGAUGAGGAAGGACGGUACUCUCAGAAUAAGUCUCGGCUAACUACGUGCCAGCAGCCGCGGUAACACGUAGGAGGCGAACGUUAUCCGGAUUUACUGGGCGUAAAGCGCGUGUAGGUGGUUUGGUAAGUAGGGCGUGAAAGCUCCUGGCUCAACUGGGGGAGGACGUUCUAAACUGCCGAACUAGAGGAUGGUAGAGGGGGGUGGAAUUGCGGGAGUGGAGGUGGAAUGCGCAGAGAUA
RNAcentral lists this ribosomal RNA (326 nucleotides) under uncultured bacterium. RNAcentral describes it as "bacterial SSU rRNA". It matches the Rfam family "Bacterial small subunit ribosomal RNA", at positions 355 to 698 of the family's 1533-position model. The record is from RNAcentral.